RNAcentral lists this long non-coding RNA (757 nucleotides) under Triticum aestivum (bread wheat). RNAcentral describes it as "long non-coding RNA (TAES_LNC005470)". Lineage: Eukaryota; Viridiplantae; Streptophyta; Magnoliopsida; Poales; Poaceae. The record is from RNAcentral.
UAAAAACCCGGAACAUGCGGCAUAUGAUUCAGCACCGGUCAAAUAUAGCAGCCCACUGAACAUAUUACGAGUCUACAAGGUACACAAUUUUGACCCAACAAAUUAAUCCGGCAAUACAGUCAACAGAAUCCCAGCAAUCUCAAACAUAGUAGCUUACACGGCAAGGACUUGAGAAAAGAACAGCCAGAAUAGAUUCAGAAGACCCAGACAACUCGCAACUUAGAAGCACUUCCGGUGGACAAUCGCUGGACCUGACUCGUCAUACUCGCCCUUCGAGAUCCACAUCUGUAGCAUAAAAAUCAGAACACAUGGUUAGUACAGCAAAUAGGGAGUGUAUUUACUGUAACUACUGCAAUGAUAUUAGGAUGUAUGAUCGCUAUUUAAGCGAAAGAAAGGCGCAAGAUUCACCUGUUGGAAGGUACUAAGGGAGGCAAGAAUCGACCCUCCAAUCCAGACACUGUACUUCCUCUCAGGCGGUGCCACCACCUUGAUCUUCAUGCUGCUUGGUGCAAGGGCAGUGAUCUCCUUGCUCAUACGGUCAGCAAUACCCGGGAACAUAGUUGAGCCACCACUGAGCACGAUGUUACCAUACAGAUCCUUCCUGAUAUCCACAUCACACUUCAUGAUAGAGUUGUAGGUGGUCUCAUGGAUUCCAGCAGCUUCCAUACCAAUGAAAGAUGGCUGGAAAAGGACCUCAGGGCAACGGAACCUCUCUGCCCCAAUGGUGAUCACCUGCCCAUCAGGCAGCUCAUAGCUC